RNAcentral lists this small RNA (722 nucleotides) under Pan troglodytes (chimpanzee). RNAcentral's name for it is "retained intron". Lineage: Eukaryota; Metazoa; Chordata; Mammalia; Primates; Hominidae. The record is from RNAcentral.
GGACAACAAAGAUGGCGGCAGGGAGCAGCAGUUACUGGGAAGAUCUCAGGAAACAGGCUCGACAGCUGGAAAAUGAACUUGACCUGAAACUAGUUUCCUUCAGCAAACUAUGUACAAGUUACAGUCAUAGCAGUACCCGAGAUGGAAGACGCGACAGGUAUAGUUCUGAUACAACACCCCUUUUAAAUGGAUCAAGCCAAGACAGAAUGUUUGAGACAAUGGCGAUUGAGAUUGAACAACUUUUGGCAAGGCUUACAGGGGUAAAUGAUAAAAUGGCAGAAUAUACCAACAGUGCAGGUGUCCCCUCCUUGAAUGCAGCCCUGAUGCAUACAUUACAGCGGCAUAGAGACAUAUUGCAGGUAAUAUAUUGGGCUCGAGAUGUUUUCAUUAUCACAGGAGUUUGGGUUUUUUUUUUUUAAUCCCUGCAUUGGAUAUGUGCACAUAUAUUUAAAAGGACAAAGAGAAAAAUCUGAGAAAAUAAAUGCCGUGCUAAAGGGACUUGUUUUACUUUUUUUUUGGGUCACCAUUAUAAAAUUCUGAAAAUAUCUAAUAGCUCUUGCUAUUUCCUGGCGAAGUUGAGUAAUAUUCAUCACUGGGUACAUAUACUUCCACUAUGGGAGACCUAGCUAGCUAGCUGUAACAGUGAAAUAGCCAAUGGUCAUGUAUAGACAAUAACAUGGUGGGUAAGCGUGUACUUUCAGCUGGCUUUGAAGAUAAUAUGG